GUGGGGAAUCUUGCGCAAUGGGCGAAAGCCUGACGCAAUCAUGCCGCGUGGAUGAUGAAGGUCUUAGGAUUGUAAAAUCCUUUCACCGGUGAAGAUAAUGACUGUAGCCGGAGAAGAAGCCCCGGCUAACUUCGUGCCAGCAGCCGCGGUAAUACGAAGGGGGCUAGCGUUGCUCGGAUUUACUGGGCGUAAAGGGCGCGUAGGCGGACAUUUAAGUCAGGGGUGAAAUCCCGGGGCUCAACCUCGGAACUGCCUUUGAUACUGGGUGUCUUGAGUAUGAGAGAGGUGUGUGGAACUCCGAGUGUAGAGGUGAAAUUCGUAGAUAUUCGGAAGAACACCAGUGGCGAAGGCGACACACUGGCUCAUUACUGACGCUGAGGCGCGAAAGCGUGGGGAGCAAACAGGAUUAGAAACCCUGGUAGUCC
This 425-nucleotide ribosomal RNA is filed under the name uncultured bacterium. RNAcentral's name for it is "partial 16S ribosomal RNA". It matches the Rfam family "Bacterial small subunit ribosomal RNA", at positions 354 to 796 of the family's 1533-position model. The record is from RNAcentral.